ACAGCAGUCGCCGCGGUAAAACGUAGGUGGCAAGCGUUGUCCGGAAUUAUUGGGCGUAAAGGGCUCGCAGGCGGUUUCUUAAGUCUGACGUGAAAGCCCCCGGCUCAACCGGGGAGGGUCAUUGGAAACUGGGAAACUUGAGUGCAGAAGAGGAGAGUGGAAUUCCACGUGUAGCGGUGAAAUGCGUAGAGAUGUGGAGGAACACCAGUGGCGAAGGCGACUCUCUGGUCUGUAACUGACGCUGAGGAGCGAAAGCGUGGGGAGCGAACAGGAUUAGAGACCCCCGUAGUCCCUGUCUCUUAUAC
RNAcentral lists this ribosomal RNA (305 nucleotides) under uncultured bacterium. Its description in RNAcentral is "partial 16S ribosomal RNA". It matches the Rfam family "Bacterial small subunit ribosomal RNA", at positions 508 to 807 of the family's 1533-position model. The record is from RNAcentral.